This 555-nucleotide long non-coding RNA is filed under the name Citrus x clementina. RNAcentral describes it as "Citrus clementina (C. clementina) long non-coding RNA (CCLE_LNC005653)". The record is from RNAcentral. Lineage: Eukaryota; Viridiplantae; Streptophyta; Magnoliopsida; Sapindales; Rutaceae.
AAGAAUAUAAAUAUUAAUAUAAUAAAAUAUAAAAUUUAAAUUAAUUACAAAAAAAUUAAUACAGUACAGUGUAGUGCCAAACAUUGCACAGUAUUAUUAUAAUACAAUGCUAAUACAAUACAGCAUAAUACAAUACAUCAGCAUUAAAAUAAUGUAAUACAGUAUAAUACAAUACAGUGUACCAAACGCACCCUAAUACCAUUACGUGCAAACGUUUUGGAUUCUUUUACGUUUUUGCCCCUGCGAACAUGCAAUAAUUGUGAUAAGCAAUUUGACCUGCAAAGUUAAUAAUAAUAAUUAUGAUUAUUAUUAUUACCACCAUCAUCAUCAUCAUCAUCAUCCAGAUUUUGAUUUUUAUUUUGUAUUGAAUAUUUGAUUUUGAUCGGAUAAGGCUUGAUUUGGAGUGUUCGGAUAUAGUUUAGUUUUAUUAUGUUACUUUGCAUUAAUAUUUACUUAAUUAUUUUUAUUUAAUUUGAGCAUUAAACACGUCUCAUGUCUAUGAUUCUCAUCUCCGUAAAGUAUAAUGCUAAAGGUAUAUUUACAGCCUCCAAAUUU